Quercus robur (English oak) is the source of this 94-nucleotide small nucleolar RNA. RefSeq annotates it as small nucleolar RNA U61. Lineage: Eukaryota; Viridiplantae; Streptophyta; Magnoliopsida; Fagales; Fagaceae. The record is from RefSeq and is a predicted model, not a curated record. The transcript has a single exon.
AAGCUAUGAUGAAGAACUAUCUGUGUACCAGAGACGGUCUCUCAGGAGCUCUGUCUUUGACGGCAAACACAACCCUCUAAGAAGUUCUGAGCUU